UCAUUGUUGCAAGCUUGUUGGCUGUUGGCUUGUUCACAAACCACCUAAUAAGUAGUUUGUGGGCUUGUUCAGUGAGUAAUAAUUAUUUCUUAGAGGUUUCGUACUGGUAAAAUAAUACAAAUAGGAAUGGAUAAAUAUCCUAGGCUGGUAAAAUGUGAUCAUAGUGUUAAUAUCGAAAUUAAUUCAAGUCCGUUCACUUUAGGUAGAUCAUGGAAUUGUAAUUAUGUGAUACUGGCUGAAAGCAUUUCUAGAAUCCAUUGCAGCCUUGAAAGAGUUGGCAUCCAUUGGAUUUUGAAAGACACUAGCACAAAUGGAACGUAUAUAAAUGGUAUGGUAAUACAAUCCAGGGGAAGUCGUCGAUUAAUGAAUGGUGACAUUAUCAACUUUGACAGACAAAAUGAACAGUAUAUAUUUCAUUUCGUUCCGAGAUAUAAUGUUUGGUAUGAACAACAAAGUAGAGUAGCUUAUCCUCUUCCAAGUGAAAUAGAUAUUUAUCCAAAUUCUUAUUCAACUGUUACUCCAUAUACAAGUGUCCCUACAUAUAGAACAAAAUCUACAUUCAGAACAAAUCGUACAUAUAGAAUACAUCGUUCAUAUAGAACAGAGCUUGCAUAUACAGCUGUCCCCACAUAUCGAACUGAUAAUGUCCCUGGAUAUACAACGUAUCCUGAAUAUACAAAUAACGCAGUACAUACAAUGAAUCCUGAUUACACAACUCUUUGUUCGUAUUCAACUGUUCGUGAUUAUGCAUCUGAACCCGAGUAUUCCACUGGUAAUGAAAAUAUAAUUGUUCAUGAACGUUCAGUUGUUCCUACUUACAGAACUGUUCGUGAAUAUACAACGGUUCCUGCUUCUCCAACUGAUACUGCAUCUAUAGAAGACAGUCCUUCUUCAGUUCAAUUUCCGGUUAUAGUGCCUACAGAAGUAGCAAGUCCAUCAGAUACUCCUCUAGAUUGUACAAUGAAAAGGGAAAUGCCCAAAGCAACAAGUAGUUCAGAAACUGAGAAUGGGGAAGAACUCCGAAACGAAAUGCAGUGUUCCAUAUGUUCUGAAAUGUUCAUCAAGGCGACUACAUUGAACUGUUCGCACACGUUUUGCAAAUUUUGCAUUGAAACUUGGAGGAGAAAUAAAUCUGCUUGUCCAAUUUGCAGGGCAGAAAUAACAUCGAUGAAUUCAACGUUGGUUCUGGAUAAUGUCAUAGAAAUGGUUGUACAAAAUGGGUCAGAAGAAGUCAAACAACACAGAAAGGAGAUAUUGGAAGACAGACAGAAAUGUGUGGAACAAUCAAAACAUAAAAGGGGGGACUCAAGUACAGAAGAAUCAAGGAUAGAAAUGGUAUCAGAAGACUCAGACAGCGGUGAUGAAUCAGAUGGAAUGAAUUGGUUGGGGCAAAUGGCCGGUACUAACCUAGAGCGGUUGUACAUUCCAACUAUAUACUGUUUCUACUGUGAUAUAAGAGGACACUCGUCCAGCAAUUGUCCUUCUAGAGAUCUAGAUGAUGUUCAUUAUCGUGUUUUGUGUUAACAAAAUUAGAAUCCUUUUCCAGUAUUAUAAUGCAUCAGAGUAAUCACUGGUGUGGAUCUCUUUAUGUUUGAAUCUCAGUGUCUAGGAUGUCGACAAAAAAACGCACAAAAUUACAUCCAUGAAAUCAAACUGAUUUCAAAAAUACAAUGUAUUUGAUAUCGAUAUUUUGCUCAACAAAAACCAAGACUUUUAUGGGACGAUUUCAAUGACGAAUAUCAAAGGAACUCCAAGAUGAAAUGCAGUAUGCCAUAUGUUCUGAAUUAUUUAUUGAAGCGACUACAUUGAACUGUGCGCACACGUUUUGCAAAUUUUGCAUUGAAACUUGGAGGAAAAAUAAAUCUGCCUGUCCAAUUUGUAGGGCAAAGAUAACAUCAAUGAAUCCAACCUUGGUGCUAGAUAAUGUCAUAAAAAUGGUCACGGCGAAGGGCCCAUACUAACCCAGAGCGGUCUUACAUUCGAGAAGUAGAUACUGUUACUGCUGUGGAUCAAGAGGACACUGGUCUAGAGAUUGUCCAUCUAGAUAACUAAUACAAUGGCGACGAAUACAACAGCUAAUUCGUAUUUUUGUUCAGUUAUAACAAAAUAAUAAUCUGAUUCCAGCAUCAUAAUGCAUCAGAGUAAUAUCCGGUGUGGAACUUCAUGUCUGGAUCUGAAGUAGUUGAACAUAACUAAAUUUAGGAAUAUGCAUUUCUAUAUUUUCCAGUCUGAUAAUAAAAAAUUCGACUGCUAUUUCGUAUUCUACAAUUAGUUUUAUAUGUUUUUCAAAUACAUAUUUUCCUAAAAC
This is an unclassified non-coding RNA of Leptinotarsa decemlineata (Colorado potato beetle), 2308 nucleotides long. The record is from RefSeq and is a predicted model, not a curated record. NCBI's taxonomy places the organism in Eukaryota, Metazoa, Arthropoda, Insecta, Coleoptera, Chrysomelidae.